RNAcentral lists this ribosomal RNA (492 nucleotides) under uncultured bacterium. RNAcentral describes it as "partial 16S ribosomal RNA". It matches the Rfam family "Bacterial small subunit ribosomal RNA", at positions 30 to 507 of the family's 1533-position model. The record is from RNAcentral.
AUUGAACGCUGGCGGCAUGCUUUACACAUGCAAGUCGAACGGUAACAGGCCUUCGGGUGCUGCCGAGUGGCGAACGGGUGCGUAAUGCAUCGGAACGUACCCAGAGGUGGGGGUUAACGCAGCGAAAGCUGGGCUAAUACCGCAUGUGAUCUGAUGAUGACAGCGGGGGACCGAGCAGCAAUGUUUGACCUCGCGCCUUUGGAUCAGCCGAUGUCGGAUUAGCUAGUUGGUGGGGUAAAGGCCUACCAAGGCGACGAUCCGUAGCUGGUCUGAGAGGACGACCAGCCACACUGGGACUGAGACACGGCCCAGACUCCUACGGGAGGCAGCAGUGGGGAAUUUUGGACAAUGGGCGCAAGCCUGAUCCAGCAAUGCCGCGUGCGGGAAGAAGGCCUUCGGGUUGUAAAGCGCUUUUGGCAGGAACGAAACGGUGUCCGCUAAUACCGGGCGCUAAUGACGGUACCUGCAGAAUAAGCACCGGCUAACUACGUG